CAGCAGCCGCGGGAAUACGAAGGGUGCAAGCGUUACUCGGAAUUACUGGGCGUAAAGCGUGCGUAGGUGGUGGUUUAAGUCCGUUGUGAAAGCCCUGGGCUCAACCUGGGAAUUGCAGUGGAUACUGGGUCACUAGAGUGUGGUAGAGGAUAGUGGAAUUUCCGGUGUAGCAGUGAAAUGCGUAGAGAUCGGAAGGAACAUCUGUGGCGAAGGCGACUAUCUGGGCCAACACUGACACUGAGGCACGAAAACGUGGGGAGCAAACAGGAUUAGAGACCCCCGUAGUCCCUGUCUCUUAUAC
This 301-nucleotide ribosomal RNA is filed under the name uncultured bacterium. Its description in RNAcentral is "partial 16S ribosomal RNA". It matches the Rfam family "Bacterial small subunit ribosomal RNA", at positions 509 to 807 of the family's 1533-position model. The record is from RNAcentral.